AGUCGUAACAAGGUUUCCGUAGGUGAACCUGCGGAAGGAUCAUUAACACUUUUUAAUACCUUUUCAAACAAAAAAAGGGAAGGGGAGCCGUAAGGCUUUCCCUUUUCUUUUUUUCAACCCAAGUGAAUCUGUUAAAGUUUCUGUUCUUAUUGAACUACAAAUUUAACUUUUUUUAUAAAAUCUUUGUAAAACAAUUUCUCUUUUUCUUUUGUAUUAUUACACAGAAAAAUUGAAAUAAACAACAAAAAUAAACCUAUGACAACUUACAACAAUGGAUGUCUAGGCUCUC
Molecule: unclassified non-coding RNA, 289 nt
Filed under: fungal sp.
Lineage: Eukaryota; Fungi
Description: partial internal transcribed spacer region
Rfam family: Eukaryotic small subunit ribosomal RNA (bases 1-45)
Source: RNAcentral